CACAGCACAACCUGUAAGCAGGUAAUUGGCACUGUGGCCUGUUGAGAAUUUAAUCUCAUUUCCCAUCAGUUAUUUGUUUUCAUAUUCUAGGAUUAUAAGAGUUGUUUUGACAAUCCACUUUGUUAUUUUUUUGCACAACAUUAUUUAAGAAAUUGACUUUCCACUGGUUGAUAAAUAACGAGAAAUUAAGGACUAAAACAUUGCUCAAGAAUCAAGAAUGUCUGCAAACUAACUUGCUGUUAGUUGUGUUUGUUUCAUUUUCAUAUCUAUGAUGAACUUUUUUAUACUGGGAAAUAUACCCCUUGUGCAUUAAAAAAUCGCUUUGCAGAUAUUUUUUGAAGUAUAUGACAUGAAAGAAUAUGUUGAAUUCUAAAGAAAUAUGAUUUGAUGCUGGGAGGAAUCAGAUUAUUAAGUUAAAUAAUCGUUUUGUAUUGUGUCAUGAAUUCUGAAAAUUGUGAACAAUAAGACGAGCAUUGUGAAUGGUCUGCUUGAGCUUUUCCUCUCCAGAUCUAAAUAAUGAAGUUGGGUGCUGAUGUACAAGUUCUUUUGCCAGGUAUCCACCUGCUCCAAGUG
This 573-nucleotide unclassified non-coding RNA is filed under the name Hevea brasiliensis (rubber tree). The record is from RNAcentral. Lineage: Eukaryota; Viridiplantae; Streptophyta; Magnoliopsida; Malpighiales; Euphorbiaceae.